GGGCCCGUAGCUCAGGCCGGUUAGAGCAAGGGACUCAUAAUCCCCAGGUCGUGGGUUCAAAUCCCACCGGGCCCA
RNAcentral lists this transfer RNA (75 nucleotides) under Gemmatimonadota bacterium. RNAcentral's name for it is "Gemmatimonadetes bacterium (activated sludge metagenome) tRNA-Ile". It matches the Rfam family "tRNA". Rfam says of the family: Transfer RNA (tRNA) molecules are approximately 80 nucleotides in length. The record is from RNAcentral. Lineage: Bacteria; Pseudomonadati; Gemmatimonadota.